GCCUGAUGUCACUAUCAGUUUGUAGAAAUCUUAGAAGACCGGGACAAAUGUACCUAUUGUCAUCUGGUCCUUCAUAAUCCUCAUCAAACAGGAUGUGGGCACAGAUUCUGCCUGCGCUGCUAGUCUCUUUGAGAGAAUUGAAUGUUAUGCCUACCUGUCCUCUAGACAACGAAAUAAUAAAACUUCAUGAGGUUUUCAGGGACAAUUGCUGUAAUAGGGAAGUUCUCAAUUUGCAAGUAUACUGCAGAAAUUCACCAGCUUGCAAUGUGAAAUCAUCUCUGGGGCGAUACCAGGAUCAUCUACAACAGUGUUCAUUUGAAAGUGUGCAAUGCACCAAUGAAGGAUGUUGUGAAAAAGUUCUUCAGAAAGAUUUGAAAGAACACCUAGGUUUGCUUUGUAAAUAUCGAAAGGAACUGUGCCAGUACUGUAAUCAGUCUGUGACUUCAGUUAAUUUAAAGACCCAUGAAAGAACAGGUUGUCCUGACUAUCCAUUGAUUUGUCCCCAUGGCUGCAUGCAGAUAAUUCUGACGAAAGAGGUAGAAGAACAUUUCGUGGUGUGUUGUGAAGUAGAUAUCGAUUGUCCAUAUAAACAGUAUGGCUGUCCUACCAAGGUGCUGUAUCACAGCUAAACGCAAUAAUAGAAACCAACACACAAAAUUGUCUUUUCUAUCCUGUCUUGCCUAGUCUAACCAUAUAACAUGAUUCAUCAGUUUCAUUUAUAAUGCAUCACACUUGCUUUGUGGAAAUUGAUUGUCCAUACAAGAACUAUGGCUGUCUUAUAAAGAUUAAAAGGGGAAAGCUUUCAGAACAUGAGAAUAUCUAUUUGAGAGAUCAUAUGUUACAAAUAUUAGAGAGGAACUUACAGCUUGAAGAUCAG
This is an RNA transcript of Sceloporus undulatus (fence lizard), 877 nucleotides long. It is a transcript of the gene named TNF receptor associated factor 5, with no coding region annotated. The transcript is spliced from 7 exons. The record is from RefSeq and is a predicted model, not a curated record. NCBI's taxonomy places the organism in Eukaryota, Metazoa, Chordata, Lepidosauria, Squamata, Phrynosomatidae.